RNAcentral lists this ribosomal RNA (253 nucleotides) under uncultured bacterium. RNAcentral describes it as "partial 16S ribosomal RNA". It matches the Rfam family "Bacterial small subunit ribosomal RNA", at positions 524 to 776 of the family's 1533-position model. The record is from RNAcentral.
UACGUAGGGGGCGAGCGUUGUCCGGAUUUAUUGGGCGUAAAGAGCGUGUAGGCGGCCAAGCAGGUCCGUUGUGAAAACUGAAGGCUCAACCUUCAGAGGUCGAUGGAAACCGCUUGGCUAGAGUCCGGAAGAGGAGAGUGGAAUUCCUGGUGUAGCGGUGAAAUGCGCAGAUAUCAGGAAGAACACCCGUGGCGAAAGCGGCUCUUUGGGACGGUACUGACGCUGAGACGCGAAAGCGUGGGGAGCGAACAGG